GACGAACGCUGGCGGCGCGCCUAAUACAUGCAAGUCGAGCGCAGGAAAUCAUCCGAACCCUUCGGGGGGACGUUGGUGGAAUGAGCGGCGGACGGGUGAGUAACACGUAAAGAACCUGCCCUCAGGUCUGGGAUAACCACGAGAAAUCGGGGCUAAUACCGGAUGGGUCAUCGGACCGCAUGGUCCGAGGAUGAAAGGCGCUUCAGCGUCGCCUGGGGAUGGCUUUGCGGUGCAUUAGCUAGUUGGUGGGGUAAUGGCCCACCAAGGCGACGAUGCAUAGCCGACAUGAGAGGGUGAUCGGCCACACUGGGACUGAGACACGGCCCAGACUCCUACGGGAGGCAGCAGUAGGGAAUCUUCCACAAUGGACGAAAGUCUGAUGGAGCAACGCCGCGUGAACGAUGAAGGCCUUCGGGUCGUAAAGUUCUGUUGUAAGGGAAGAACAAGUGCCGCAGGCAAUGGCGGCACCUUGACGGUACCUUGCGAGAAAGCCACGGCUAACUACGUGCCAGCAGCCGCAGUAA
RNAcentral lists this ribosomal RNA (524 nucleotides) under uncultured bacterium. RNAcentral's name for it is "partial 16S ribosomal RNA". It matches the Rfam family "Bacterial small subunit ribosomal RNA", at positions 28 to 523 of the family's 1533-position model. The record is from RNAcentral.